CCCCCUACGGGAGGCAGCAGUGGGGGAUAUUGCACAAUGGGGGAAACCCUGAUGCAGCGACACCGCGUGGGUGAAGAAGCGCUUCGGCGUGUAAAGCCCUCUCCGUUGGGAAGACAAAGUACGGUACCCAAAGAAUAAGCACCGUCUAAAUACGUGCCAGCAGCCGCGGUAAUUCUUAUGGUGCAAGCGUUAUCCGGAAUUACUGGGUGUAAAGGGAGCGUCGACGGUUGGACAAUUCUGAUGUGAAAGCCCACGGCCCC
RNAcentral lists this ribosomal RNA (260 nucleotides) under uncultured bacterium. Its description in RNAcentral is "partial 16S ribosomal RNA". It matches the Rfam family "Bacterial small subunit ribosomal RNA", at positions 335 to 611 of the family's 1533-position model. The record is from RNAcentral.